CCUACGGGAGGCAGCAGUGAGGAAUAUUGGUCAAUGGGCGAGAGCCUGAACCAGCCAAAUCGCGUGAAGGAUGAAGGUAUUAUGUAUUGUAAACUUCUUUUACAGGGGAAUAAAGUGCGGGACGUGUCCCGUUUUGUAUGUACCCUGAGAAUAAGGAUCGGCUAACUCCGUGCCAGCAGCCGCGGUAAU
Molecule: ribosomal RNA, 189 nt
Filed under: uncultured bacterium
Lineage: Bacteria
Description: partial 16S ribosomal RNA
Rfam family: Bacterial small subunit ribosomal RNA
Source: RNAcentral